CUUUGCACACUUUUUUUGUUACAAACUAAGGCACAAGCCCACACAUUAGCCUAGGCCUACACAGGGUCAGGAUCAUCAAUAUCACUGUCUUCCACCUGCACAUCCUGUCCCACUGGAAGGUCCUCAGGGGCAAUAAUGCAUGAAUCGGUUAUCUCCUGUGAUAACGAUUCCUUCUUCUGGAAUACCUUUUGAAGGUUCUGCCUAAGGCUGUUUUACAGUUAAUUUUUUUAAUAGGUAGAAAAAGUAUACUCUAAAAUAGUAAUAUAAAGUAUAAUAUAGUAAACACAUAAACCAGUAACAUAAUUGUUUAUCAUUAUCAAAUAUUAUGUACUGUACAUAAUUAUAUCUGCUAUAAAGUCAAACACCAGAUAAUGGCAUUUUGGUCUACAAUGAACCAUGUGUACAAUGACAGUGGUCCCAUAAGAUUAUAAUGGAUCUUAAUCAUUUCUAUUGUCUAUUGAUGUUAUAAUGUCACAACACACUUUAUUUUUUAAAUUAAUUUAGUGUAUCCUAGGUGUACAGUGUUGGUAAAGUGUACAGUAUCAUAAAGUAAUGUCCUAGGCCUUCACAUUUACUCAGCACUCACUCACUGACUCACUUAGAGCAACUUCUAGUCAUUGAAGCUCCAUUCCUGAUAAGUGCCCUAUACAGGUGGACUGUAUUUUUAUACCAUAUUUUUACAUAUAAUUUCUAUGUUUAGAUACACAAAUAUUUAUAAUUAUGUUACAUUUACCUAUAGCAUUCAUUACAGUAAAAUGCUGUACAGGUUUGUAGCCUAGGAGUAACAGGCUAUAUCGUAUAGCUUAGGUGUGUAGUAUACUUUACCAUCGAGGUUUGUGUAAUUACACUCUAUAAUGUUUGCACAAUGCCAGUCACCUACCAUGAUGUAUUUCUCAGAACAUAUCCCGUUAUUAAUUGAUUAUACUUUUAUACAUCAUUAAUGAUACUUUUAUGCAAGUGGCAGUGCAUUAGGUUUGUUUACACCAGCAGCACCACAAACAUGAGUCAUGUGUUGCACGAUGACAUUACCAUAGCUGUAAUGUCACUAAGCUCUACUACAAUGUUAAGGGACAACCAUUGUAUAUGCAAUCCAUUGAUGACCAAAACCACAUUUUGUGGCAUAUGAUUGUACUUAAGUUAAAGAAGGAAUCUAUUAUCUAAUUCUGAGAAGAAAUUACAAAAACGUAUAAUGUUAGUAAUUGAAAAGAUAAUAGAGAUUAUCUAGUUCAGGGAUAAGCAAGUUACAGCCUGUGGAUUAAAAUCUUUUUUGCCUAUAAAGGUUUAUUGGAACACAGAUACACUUACUCAUUUACAUAUUACCUAUGUUUGCUUUCAUGCCACAGAGGCAGAGUGUAAUCGUUGAGACAAGGAUUAUAUGGCUCACAAAACCAAAAAUGUUUACUUUCCGGCUCUUUAUAUAAAAUGUUGGCUGCCUUGGGUUUAGUUUAGCCUUUUAUUUUUGUAGAUAAAAAUUGGCCCUAAAAGACAGAUUUUCGAAUCACAGAACCAUUGCAUUACUGAGCUUAAAAUAAAGUGCAAGAUAAUUUGUAUUUGUAUCUUUUUUUUGUAGACUAAUUUACAAUACUUGAUUUUUGUGUGUCAGAUGGAGACAGAUAGAUAGAUAUAUACACUACUUGAACUUUGGUUUAUAGUGAAUGCUCCACUCAAACUCCCCUUCAGAAAAGGACUUAUUUCCCCAACUACUGGAAGCUUUGCCAGAAGAAAAGCUUAAUUAGUUAGAAACCUACAGGAAUUCAGUUGAAAAGAGCUGCCUCAUUGACCAAGAUCACACCUGCUUCGCAGGUGGUCAGCCAGAAGUGGGUAUAAAAGUCUGUCCCCAUGAACUCAACUCAGGGCAACAUUGAAGGGAUUUUUCUGCUAUACAUCUCCUCAUGGAUGGGCUAAAGAGCUUUCAUUGUGGCUCAAUUUCUCUCAGGACCUAACUUUUUGAUUCCUUUCUUUCUUACUCUGUCCUUCCACGGGUAUUGAUCCCAAGAACAUUUUCUAAUAAGCCUCCUGCUGGCUGCUUCCCAGGGAGCACAUCCUGGAUAAACUACCAUUAACAAAAUAAAGACUAAGAGCACUUCCAAUUCAGCGUCUGAGGAUCAACUCUCAAAUCGUUAAUUCAACAGCGCCUAGUUAGUAAAGAUACACUACCUUUCAUAAAUGUCAGCUUUUCCUGUUUCUUUGUUGAAAGGUUUCAUUAGUUGUUGGUGGAGCUCAUUUUCUGAUGUGAGCUAAUGGUACAAUUAUUGGAGCUAAUUCCUUCAGAAGAUAAAUUCUAGAAUGCUGCAAAUUGUGGAAAAUCUUUCUACCUUUUAUACUGGUAAACAAGAGAGACAUCUUGGCCCCUUUUAACCACCAUGUUGCUAACAGCACAGUGAUUAAUGAAAACUGAGAACAGAUCAUUGUAAUGGUGGAGGAAGGAGCUCAAUAACGUCCCCACUGCCCACCAGCUUGCAGUUUAUCCUUUGUGUCUUUUUUUUUCAGUCUUUUCUAUUUUAAGCCUUUAACCAUACAGAGAGAGGAAAAAAAAAGGUGAUUAGCUUAAAUUUGAUUUAAAUUAUGGUUUUACUUAGAUACUAAUGAUUACUGAUUCAACUUAAGUGAGAAUUAAAGGGUUUAAACUACUGAAGUGUGCAAUAAUAAUGGAAAGUCUGCUUGAGGAAAAAAAUACAGGUUAUUGUUUUUAUUUCUGCUAUCUUCUGACAUUUUUAGUGGCUUAUGCCAACUGAAUGGCUUUACAAAGUGAAACUAAACAAAUAAAAGUGAAUGGGGAUAUAGAGAGAAAUGCUUAAGUAUCCCUGUCAAAGACAGAAUGAUGAACUAUUAUAAAUAUUUGGCAUGUUCUGUAAAUAUGUGGCACUCAAUCAAAAGCCAUUUAAACCUUGAAAGGACAAGAAACAUAAUGAAACUGAAUGAGACUAUUUCAGUUUUACCUGUUUUCUUAGAAUGCUUUAUUGUGUUGUUUUCUUUUUCAGGUGUCACAUGGUAGUCUCCAGCAGUCCUAGGUUCCCAUUGUCCACAGUGAGAAUCCACUGGUAAAGGAGCAUUCUUCUCUUCAUACAUGCAGUGAAUGUCUAAUUGGUUCUAAUUGGGUCAUAUGCUCACCUCAAAUUAAUCAGUGGAAUUAGGGGAUGAAAUGCUGUGGGAAGGCCAUCUACAAAUAUGUAGGACCUACUUCAGCAGUAGAAAGGAGGCUUGCCUUCAAAGCAAGACCAGGGACAGAAAGUCCAUCUUUUGAACUGAGUAAAGGGGCAUUCCUAUAACUGAUCCAGGGAAUGUUAAGACUAGGCUUAGAACCAAAAUGUUAUUUAGUAAACCCUCUCAUUUAGCAAGAAUUCAUAAAGCUCUUAUAAUUUUCUGAGUUGUGGAGGUGAGGGAAACAUCUUUUGUUAUUUAUAAUAUUACCUUUCAACCAUGCCUGAGUUUAUGCCAAUGAGGUGACUCUUGGUGGAUCCCUGCCUAGCUUUAGGCUAAGGACUGGUUACCAGAGGAACCAACCAUGUUAUUAGAACUCCAGGGAGGGCAGAAGGGUGGAGAUUGAGUUAGUCACCAAUGGUCAGUGAUUUAACUAAUUAUGCAUAUGUAAUGAAACCUUCAUUAAAAAAACCUAAACAAGGAGGUUCAAAGACCUUGGUUGGUGAAUACAUCCACAUGCCAGAAGGGUGGUGCAGCCAAACUCCACAGGGAUAGGAACUCCUGUGCUCAGGACCCUUCUGGACCUCGUCCCAGGUACCUCUUCAACUGGCUACUUAUUUGUAUCCAUUAAGAAUAAAUUGGCUUGCUAGACUUUCUCCAGGGUGCCUGGUCUAGUUUCCUCCUGGAUUGGUAGCUUUUGAAGUGAGACAUAAAAGCGUCUGGCUUUUUGAGGUUAUGAUGCUCCAGUCAGCUGUGGCUGAAGUCUUUGAUCCUGGCCAUUUUUCGCAUGAUUCAAAGUCCCCACAGCUCACAUGCCUUUAUUUUUAACCCCAGGCCUCUGCUGGUGCAAAAACUUUCUUAACACAUCUGUGUUUCCUUACUGGACACAUGGACACUUCUGGGUCCCUUUCUCCCAACUUCCAGCACACAGAGAUCAGAAUGACUUCCAGCUCACCUGUGUAGCUGCUUUUUGCCUAUUUUACUGCACUAUUACCCUGCAAUUUUGGGAGAAGUGGCAGUCUGUGGAGCAUCUCCUAAAGGCCUGAAAGUGGGCCAAUACCCCUCAAUCCCUCAGGUUCCCCAUAUAGCUAAUUCUUUCUACUCCUGUAUCUAUGAGUUCAUCCUCUGGAGGCAUUAAUUCCUGCACGUUUGACUUAGAGCUGCCUAUGUCUCCUGUCUCUUCCCAUAAUCCAUGGGACCAAAAGUCUUUGACUUUUGCCAAAUCCUUUGAGUCUGGUUGGGAUCCCCCCCACCGCCUCCAAUAAUAUUCUGUAUUUAUGUUAGCCAGGGCUACCUCUUUUUAUGAUAAAGGAGUUUUACAGUUUCAGGUCUAUACUUAAAUCUUUAAUUCAUUUGAGUUGAUUUUUAUAUAUGGUAAGGUAGACAAAUUUUGCAAUGAUUACUUUCUGGCAAUCAGAAUCCUGAAUUUCAUUUUCUGCCAAGGAUUGUUACAACUACACACGAACUACAACUAGAAGCUGAGUUGCAUCAUGCAUACCUAUUGUGAGAAAGCUGUCAUUUUGAACAUUUGCAGCUAUUUGGAAGCUUUUAUUUUCCAAAAAUAUGUACUUUUAUAGCUUCAUUCUAGCUAUUAAUUUUCUAAGUUUUUGCUUUGUCCAUUGUUGUUAUUAUUGGGAAUAACAUUUUUUCUUGGGUGGGAAUUUAUUUUAUGUGAGUUUGAUUUAUAUAUUCUUUGAAGAUUCAAAUCUUUGGGUUGAUAGCCCAUAAUUUGUUUAUUAAGAGACAAUGGAUAUUUACAGAAAUAAAAUGAUCAAUUGCCAUGGAGAUGAGCAUAUCACCAUAGCAACUUACAUCAUGUAUGUGUGUAUGAAAAAUUCUGAGGGGUGGGUCAGGAAGAUAGUGUGUUUGUGUGUGUUUUUUGAAUUCGCAAAGGCUGAAGAAGUCAUUUAUCUUCUUCUAAUUAGAGACUAUCUUAGCAAUUUGUUGAAGAAAUAGAUUAACAGUCACCUUGUCAGUUUGAGUGUUUUGCUCUGUGUUUAAAACAUACUCAUUCUAUAGAUUAGUUCUUCUCUUGCUGAUCCACUGAUAAUAUCCUGAUAUUUUGGAGUUCAUAAAUAGCAUUUCCAAUUAUUUGUACAGUGGGUCAGCUUAAUUAAUAAUAAUAAUAAAACACUGCAGGGCAUUCCGAACACCGUAGGACACAAAGAGAAUAUGAUAGAUAGAGAAUAGACAAUUAAAUUUCUGAGAUAAAAUGGAGACAGGGACAGUGACACAGGUAGAUACCAACAAAAAAAUUAAAUUUCUCAUCCUAGUUAAAUUUUACGUUUUAACGAUCCCAAACUUAGAAUUAUAUUGAGAAAUACAAAAGUGGUGUAGAUUAUGUUCACAAUUAAUAAGCCCCCUUUCCUUCCACUUGCCUGUAAGAAUAUUGAUUAUACAUCUUUGCAUGCUGCCAUGUGACUUCAAUGCACAGAAAUAUACCCCCCAUUACUUUGACUUUGGGCUAGGUUUGUAACCUGCUUUGACCAUUGGAAUGUGAGUGGAGUUCACCAAUGCUAUGUGGGAGCAGAAGCUUUAAGAGACAUUGUGGUGCUCUGCCAGCCCUUUACCUCUCUUUUUCUUUGCACAAAAAUGAUGUCUCAAUCCUCUCAGCCUGAGUCCUGGAAUAGAGGAUAUGUGGAGCACAGUCCUUGCAAUUCUCAACCACCAUUAUGUACUCUGGAAUAAUACAUAUUACAUAAGCUACUUUGUUUUGCUUAUGAUUGCAUAUUUAGCAGAUAUACUAAAGUGACUGACUAAUUUAUGUUGUUCAGUCAUUUCUCAUCUCUCCUCCCUCCGCCAUUCUUUACGUCCUUUCGGUAGAGCUGACUCCACCCCAGCACUGUGGCUUAUGCUGGAUCGACCAGAGUGUUGCUUUCUUCAUAUGGUCUAUUGAGACAAUAAAACCUCAGCCGAAAUUGUUGGAAGAGACCCAUCACAUCCCUCAUUGCUACCUGGGGACAGAGAGUGGAAUAAAAGUUGGUCCUGCUGCAGCAACUUGCAUCAAUGAAGAGAGAGUCAAACUAAGAAGAGCUGUUAAAUCAAGUAGUAUCUGAAGCCAUUAACCUUCAAUUAUGGGAAAUAAAUAUUUUCUAUUCUUGCAACCUAU
RNAcentral lists this long non-coding RNA (6250 nucleotides) under Homo sapiens (human). RNAcentral describes it as "HSALNT0303786". The record is from RNAcentral. Lineage: Eukaryota; Metazoa; Chordata; Mammalia; Primates; Hominidae.